RNAcentral lists this ribosomal RNA (301 nucleotides) under uncultured bacterium. RNAcentral describes it as "partial 16S ribosomal RNA". It matches the Rfam family "Bacterial small subunit ribosomal RNA", at positions 509 to 810 of the family's 1533-position model. The record is from RNAcentral.
CAGCGCCGCGGGAAAACGGAGGGUGCAAGCGUUAAUCGGAAUUACUGGGCGUAAAGCGCACGCAGGCGGUCUGUCAAGUCAGAUGUGAAAUCCCCGGGCUUAACCUGGGAACUGCAUUUGAAACUGGCAGACUGGAGUCUUGUAGAGGGGGGUAGAAUUCCAGGUGUAGCGGUGAAAUGCGUAGAGAUCUGGAGGAAUACCGGUGGCGAAGGCGGCCCCCUGGACAAAGACUGACGCUCAGGUGCGAAAGCGUGGGGAGCAAACAGGAUUAGAUACCCCGGUAGUCCCUGUCUCUUAUAAC